UCAAAUAACUUGUCUUAACACUAGUGCAGUCUAGCCUCAUCCAGAGAAGAUUUAAGAUUAUCUAGUCUAGGCAGAGUCUUGUAGUAGCUGAAGUGAAAAACUAGUUUAAAAGAAAGCCAAGGCUCCCUUACAAAUGAAGUGGCCAAUUAGCUGAGGUGAAAAGGAAAAGUCUUCCUAAGUGUUUUUUUUCCACUAACUUAUCAUUUUCAAGUCAUUAUCAGGACAAGCAGAAGUUACUCCAUUCUCCUUUUGAUGAAUGGGAGUUGUCACUGCAAUUAUUUGGCUUUAUGUGGGUUGCCCAGGAUGCUCGAGGGUUCAUAGCAGUAUCAGUUAGAGCCAGCAUCUGAUGGAAAACUUCAAGACCAGCUCUAAAUCCAUUCCUUUCUUUGGGGCCCCACUCAUUCUGAAUGACAAUGAGAUGACUUUCCAAACUUGUUAGAGCCAUGCUGUCAAUAAAAAUGUCACCAGCAGGAGAGAACGCCUCAUCAAGACUUCAGUGUUGCCUCAUUUGUAAAGGGAGUUGCUAGACGCCUUGGAAACGACACCUGUCAGGUACUGCUUUUCUUUCAAAAAAUGAGACUCUCCCUGGGGCAUUUUCCAGCUGCUUUUUACCUCCUUCACUGAAGACUUGCCGAGGAAGCUUAUAUUUAGGCUGUAACUCACUCUUAUCUGGCUUUGUUUUCCUGUCUCUAGGACAGAAGGGAGUAAUCAGCUUGGAUCUUGGAGAAAUUCCAAGUUAAUACCAAAAAAGCAAUCUACCAAUUCAAACCGCUGGUACAGUACAGGAAAUGCGGAAGAAGAGUGGUUGACUUUCUUCCUUCAUGUUUUGAAGUAAACUCCACUUUUAUUUUGCUAACGUACAAUCAGAUCCUGUGUCCUAAAUCUGUGUAUUCAUUUUGAACUCCUUUUCAGAAGAAAGGAGUUCAGUUCUAGAAACACCUAGAAACUCAAUGUGUUUCUCAUUUAUUUUUCAGUAUCUAGAACCGAACUAAACCCGUGAAUCAUUCAACAAACAUUUACUGGAUACUGAUUAAGUGCAAGACACCUGUGGAGAGUUCGAGAUGGCUGCGAAUACUUGUACCUACCUUCCAUUGAGAAGCAGGAUCUUUGCUCCUAUCCUUGAAUCUGGGCAGGCUUUGGAACUGCUUUGACCAAUAGAAUAUGGCAGAAAUGUUGCUGUACCAGUUUUGAGGCCCAGACCUCCAAGAAACAAACAACUUGAGGUCUCCAACUUCCUGUCUCUUAGGAUGCUCUCUCUGGGAGCUUUGAGCUGUCACAUAAGAAGUCCAACACAUUGGCGAGGCCCUGUGCAGGCAAUCUGGUCAACAGUCCCAGCUGAGCCCAGGCUCCUAGCCAGCCCUGCCAAGGUGCCAGACAUGAGUGAGGCCGCCUGGAACCCUCCAGGUGAACCCACAAUAGAUGAACAUCAUCACUGUGUGGAAAGAAGACUCACCCAGCUGAGCCCAGCCCAUAUUUCCAAUCCACAAAAUCAUGAGAUGUAACAACAGCCAUUUUAAGUCACCUAACAAUCCCAAGUUAGAAUAAACGUUCUGCUAAAAUCUGAACUCCAGUGUGCUUUAAGAGGCUGAAGUGGCAAACGAGCUGGUGUGGGUAAGGUGCACCCCACGGGGUGUGGCGUGCAGUACUCACUCAGGGAGAGGAGCUCUUUUCAGUGUUACUGGAGUGUUCCAAUGCUCCUCUUGGCUUUCAGCUUUUGCCUCUUGAUUCCUUCUCCACACCCCUGCCAGAACCAACUUACCCAAGCAUAGUCAUGUGUGUAAUAGCACAGAUAUCACCCAUUGUCCCUCAGUAUCAAAUUCUGUCUUCUUCCUCAGUAAGAGGACUUUGAAUACAAAUUAGAUAUAUGGAGGUACAGACUGAAGACUACACUUUCCAGCCUCCCAUGCAGCUGGAGGGGACCAUACAACCGAGUUUUGGCCAAAGGUUGGCUGGUACUAAUGAGGAAGAGUGGAGGAUCACAUAGCAUUUGCUGACAAGGUUUGAAAGUGGCAUCUUUCGCUACUCUCCGUAUCCCAUUGACCAGAUUAACAUGGCUACAACCCAGGACAAGGAAGAAAAAUAGUGGAAUAGGGGAAUCUAGCCAGUCUUGGCCACAUCGCCCAAAUUUUUCAUGGGAGUGAGGAAAGAACAUGGUUCGGAUAGAUGUGCCAGAGGAAAUGCACCAGGAAAUCCUGAGCAGGGUGCAAUCAGUCACCAUUAAUGCUCACAAGUGUCAAAGCUACUUGGAGAAAUACAGCUACUUAUGGAUGGACGAUAAAAUUGAAUUCAUGAAGCAGUUCCUUCUCCAUGAGCGAUUUCUUAGUGCUGAAGAACUAGAAUUGCAGGCGGACUGUGAGUGUCAGAACUCCACACUGCAGUUAGCACACUUUACAGAACAGGUAUUGAAUUUCAGCUGAGUCUAGCAUUAUCUUU
This is a long non-coding RNA of Callithrix jacchus (white-tufted-ear marmoset), 2433 nucleotides long. RefSeq lists it as uncharacterized. The record is from RefSeq and is a predicted model, not a curated record. Lineage: Eukaryota; Metazoa; Chordata; Mammalia; Primates; Cebidae.